CUUCCAAUCUUUGUUUUAUAGGCUGUGAAGAGACACCAUGACCAAGGGAACUUAUAGAAGAAAGAGUAUAUUGUUGCUUACAGUUUCAAGGAUUCUGAGUUAUGACUACAAUGCUGAGGUACAUGGCAGCAGGCUGCAAAGAGAUACCAUGAGCAAGGGAACUUUUCGAAGAAAGAGUUUAUUGGGGCUUACAGUUUCAAGGAUCAUGAGUCUGAUAUCAGGGGUACAUGGCAGCAGGCUGUGAAGAGACACCAUGUCCAAGGGAACUUAUAGAAGAAAGAGUAUAUUGUUGCUUACAGUUUCAAGGAUUCUGAGUUAUGACUAUUAUGCUGAGGUACAUGGCAGCAGGUAGGUCACCAUGUUUCUAGAGAACUAGCUGAGAGCUUACAUCUUAUCUGCAAGUUGGAGACAGAGAAAGUGAAGGUUAAGUAUAAAUGGUAUUGGAUUUGGAAACCUCAAAGCCCAAUCCCAAAAUACUCCUCCAACCAAUACAUAUCUUAUAAUACUUCCCACACAUUUCCUCUAACAAGAAACCAAACAUGCAUACAUGUGAGUUUAUGUGGGCCAUUAUCAUUCAAUUCACCAUAUCCUACUCACAAUUUUCCAUAGGAUCUUAAAACAUAUCAAAAUAAAAAUGCAUUUCCCACACCUUCAAAAAUCCUUGUAGUCUUUCACAGUCUACACAGUUCAUCCAAAGAGCUUCAUAAAACUCCACGCAGUCCCGUAAUUAUUUCCCCCAUAUGAAAUCAAAAGGCAAAUUACACACUUCCAAUGUGUAAUGCCGAAUCAUAUAUCUUAUCAUUGCCAAGGGAAAUUGGGAAUGUGGUGAGCCAAUUCAAGGCAUAAUCCCAAGAGCGCACACUCCAAAUUCUCUCCUUCUGAUAGUAGACAAAGAGAUUAAAACUAUUUUAAAUUUUCCUUAUUUAUUUCUCCCCUGACCCUUUCAGUUGUUGUAUUGUUUAUGUUACUUACUUUCCAUGAGUGUGUGUAUUUUCUGUACUUUUAAUUGUUUGAUACCACUUUGAUUCCUUUGU
Rattus norvegicus (Norway rat) is the source of this 1034-nucleotide non-coding RNA. The record is from RefSeq and is a predicted model, not a curated record. Lineage: Eukaryota; Metazoa; Chordata; Mammalia; Rodentia; Muridae.